Molecule: transfer RNA, 71 nt
Filed under: Loxodonta africana (African savanna elephant)
Lineage: Eukaryota; Metazoa; Chordata; Mammalia; Proboscidea; Elephantidae
Rfam family: tRNA
About the family: Transfer RNA (tRNA) molecules are approximately 80 nucleotides in length. Their secondary structure includes four short double-helical elements and three loops (D, anti-codon, and T loops).
Source: Rfam by way of RNAcentral
GCAGUGGUGGCUCAGUGGGGGAAUUCUCAUUUUCUAUGUGGAAGACCCAGGUUCAAUUCUUGGCCAAUGCA